ACAGAGGUGGCGAGUGUUGUUCGGAUUUACUGGGCGUAAAGGGUCCGCAGGCGGCUCUGUGUGUCAGAUGUGAAAGCCCACGGCUUAACCGUGGAAUGGCAUUUGAAACUACAGAGCUAGAGUACAGGAGAGGAUAGGGGAAUUCAUGGUGUAGCGGUGAAAUGCGUAGAUAUCAUGAAGAACACCGGUGGCGAAAGCGCCUAUCUGGACUGAUACUGACGCUCAGGGACGAAAGCCAGGGGAGCAAAGAGGAUUAGAUACCCUCGUAGUCCUGGCCAUAAACGGUGCGCACUUGAUGUGGGAGGUUUACCCCCUUCCGUGUCGAAGCUAACGCGAUAAGUGCGCCGCCUGGGAAGUACGGCCGCAAGGUUA
This 372-nucleotide ribosomal RNA is filed under the name uncultured bacterium. RNAcentral describes it as "bacterial SSU rRNA". It matches the Rfam family "Bacterial small subunit ribosomal RNA", at positions 525 to 896 of the family's 1533-position model. The record is from RNAcentral.